UGGCUGAGCUGUGAUGGCGAGCGAAAUAUAGUAGCGAAGUUCCUGAUUCCACACUGCCAAGAAAAGCCUCUAGCGAGGUGAGAGGUGCCCGUACCGCAAACCGACACAGGUAGGCGAGGAGAGAAUCCUAAGGUGAUCGAGAGAACUCUCGUUAAGGAACUCGGCAAAAUGACCCCGUAACUUCGGGAGAAGGGGUGCUCUGUUAGGGUGCAAGCCCGAGAGAGCCGCAGUGAAUAGGCCCAGGCGACUGUUUAGCAAAAACACAGGUCUCUGCGAAGCCGUAAGGCGAAGUAUAGGGGCUGACGCCUGCCCGGUGCUGGAAGGUUAAGAGGAGCGCUUAGCGUAAGCGAAGGUGCGAAUUGAAGCCCCAGUAAACGG
This 378-nucleotide ribosomal RNA is filed under the name Enterococcus faecalis. Its description in RNAcentral is "partial 23S ribosomal RNA". It matches the Rfam family "Bacterial large subunit ribosomal RNA", at positions 1553 to 1930 of the family's 2925-position model. The record is from RNAcentral. Lineage: Bacteria; Bacillati; Bacillota; Bacilli; Lactobacillales; Enterococcaceae.